RNAcentral lists this ribosomal RNA (229 nucleotides) under uncultured bacterium. RNAcentral describes it as "partial 16S ribosomal RNA". It matches the Rfam family "Bacterial small subunit ribosomal RNA", at positions 568 to 796 of the family's 1533-position model. The record is from RNAcentral.
UGCGCAGGCGGGAAACUAAGUCAGUGGUGAAAUCCUUCAGCUUAACUGAAGAAUUGCCAUUGAAACUGGUUUUCUUGAAUCUACUUGAAGUGGGCGGAAUAUGACAUGUAGCGGUGAAAUGCUUAGAUAUGUCAUAGAACACCGAUUGCGAAGGCAGCUCACUAAAGUAGUAUUGACGCUCAGGCACGAAAGCGUGGGGAGCGAACAGGAUUAGAUACCCUGGUAGUCC